Molecule: ribosomal RNA, 283 nt
Filed under: uncultured Rhizobium sp.
Lineage: Bacteria; Pseudomonadati; Pseudomonadota; Alphaproteobacteria; Hyphomicrobiales; Rhizobiaceae
Also listed under: 1 other name
Description: partial 16S ribosomal RNA
Rfam family: Bacterial small subunit ribosomal RNA
Source: RNAcentral
AGAACGAACGCUGGCGGCAGGCUUAACACAUGCAAGUCGAGCGCCCCGCAAGGGGAGCGGCAGACGGGUGAGUAACGCGUGGGAACGUACCCUUUGCUACGGAAUAGCUCCGGGAAACUGGAAUUAAUACCGUAUGUGCCCUACGGGGGAAAGAUUUAUCGGCAAAGGAUCGGCCCGCGUUGGAUUAGCUAGUUGGUGGGGUAAUGGCCUACCAAGGCGACGAUCCAUAGCUGGUCUGAGAGGAUGAUCAGCCACAUUGGGACUGAGACACGGCCCAAACUCC